AGUAUCAUGGCUUAGUGGUUCAAAGUGCCAUAAGGUUAUGCUUCUCUCUGUCAGGAUGAGGGUUCAAAUCCCUAAUCUGACAAUUG
This is a non-coding RNA of Termitomyces sp. 'cryptogamus', 86 nucleotides long. NCBI's taxonomy places the organism in Eukaryota, Fungi, Basidiomycota, Agaricomycetes, Agaricales, Lyophyllaceae. The record is from the annotation of a GenBank genome assembly.